RNAcentral lists this transfer RNA (73 nucleotides) under Paramuricea clavata. It matches the Rfam family "tRNA". Rfam says of the family: Transfer RNA (tRNA) molecules are approximately 80 nucleotides in length. The record is from Rfam by way of RNAcentral. Lineage: Eukaryota; Metazoa; Cnidaria; Anthozoa; Malacalcyonacea; Plexauridae.
GCCCCUGUAGCUCAGUUGGUUAGAGCGCUGCAUCGGAAUCGCAGGGCCGUAGGUUCAAUUCCUACCAGAGGAC